RNAcentral lists this long non-coding RNA (1379 nucleotides) under Anas platyrhynchos platyrhynchos (common mallard). Its description in RNAcentral is "lncRNA (ENSAPLG00000027130.1)". Lineage: Eukaryota; Metazoa; Chordata; Aves; Anseriformes; Anatidae. The record is from RNAcentral.
UUUAUUUUAUUUUAUUUUAUUUUAUUUUAUUUUAUUUUAUUUUAUUUCAUUUCAUUUCAUUUCAUUUCAUUUCAUUUCAUUUCAUUUCAUUUCAUUCCUUUACAAUAACAAAGUUGCACAGAAGGGAUAUAAAGAUGACAAAAGUACCGCUCUUCAAGAACAACAUUUAUCCUUUGGAAACUACAAAGACUGGGUGCAUAGUUUGUAAGAUUUCUAUUUUAUUUUAUUUUUUUUUAAAUAAUGUUUUCUUUUAUGCCUAAAUUUUCCUUGUCAGGUUUUCUCUCGACACCACAAGUGCACACAGUCAUCAGUUUCUGUGAAAAACUAAUGCAAAAAUGACAGUGGAGAAGAAAUCCUUACAGCAGCAGCUGCUGCCAGGUGAUUGCACUGCACCAUCACGGCCUUCUGCAGAGAAGCACAGCUGCAUCCUCGCCUUGCCUGAUGCAUCCAAACUAUACAGCUGCUAUUCCCUCCCACCUCCCAAGAUGGACUUUGAUGGACAGAAGAACCUGAGGAUGUGGUUCAGGAGAAGGAUAAACUGAAUAGCCUCAAGCCUGCCUAUGACAGCAAAGGGAGAAAAGGAUUUUACUUCGCAGCCAGUUAUCUGAAGAGCUGUAACUAAGGCUGGAUAUCUGUGUCCCCUCAUGCCACAUUAUUGCCACAUUAUCUUUCUUAACAGGUGAGUGUUUGUUUGUGACUAUGAGGUUCCAACAGCUACUGCAAUGUGAUCUUACCCUGGAGAGCUGCAUACUCUGGUGGGAGAUGUGCUUUGAGAGAAAACAAGUAUAAAGCACUAAUGAUUGGCUUGGUCUGGAUAAACAGAGGUUUCACACUUUAAACUAGAUGUACACUGAAGAAAUGUCAUUGUGGAGCCUAAUUGGAUUGAACAACACUUUGUCCUCUCCAGGGAGAUAGUAUUGGAUGAUGACUUCCAGCAAAACAUCAUGGUACCCCAUGAAGUCAGAGGCUGGUCUUGAUGUUGAGAUUCUGUUCUGGGCUACCUGGGAAAACGCUUUCCAAUUAUGAAGUUUCUGGAUAUCCUAAAGCCCUAAAGGACACCUACUCCAAGGAGACAGACAGAUAACAAUAGGUGCAGCCAGUAUUUUGACCACAGUUUUAAAGUAGUUCUAAAAUUUCAUUACUUUAUUUAAGACCCCCAGCUAAAGCAAGAUUUAUCAGUCUGCAGUGAGCAGCAGGUUCUCAUAAGAGCUCAGCAGUAAGCAGACAGCAAACUGCAUUACUUGAAUGAAAAAGUGAAGUGUCAUAUAAGCUCUACUCUAUUGGAAAUGGAUUAAAACAGAGCCUGUGGCCUUCUCACUAAAUCACAAAAGAGACGUACUUCUGUGAAUACUAUUUUUCCCCAGUUUUUCAAAGGAACU